AGUUUGAUCAUGGCUCAGAUUGAACGCUGGCGGCAAGCCUAACACAUGCAAGUCGAGCGGCAUCGUGUAUACUUUAUUGUACAUGACGGCGAGCGGCAAACGGGUGAGUAAUAUCUGGGGAUCUACCUAAAUGAGGGGGAUAACCAUUGGAAACGAUGGCUAAUACCGCAUAAAGUUUAGCAACCAAAGGUGGGGGACCGAAAGGCCUCAUGCGUUUAGAUGAACCCAGACGAGAUUAGCUUGAUGGUAAGGUAAAUGCUUACCAUGGCAACGAUCUCUAGCUGGUCUGAGAGGAUGGCCAGCCACACUGGAACUGAGACACGGUCCAGACUCCUACGGGAGGCAGCAGUGGGGAAUAUUGCACAAUGGGCGAAAGCCUGAUGCAGCUAUGCCGCGUGUAUGAAGAAGGCCUUAGGGUUGUAAAGUACUUUCAGCAAGGAAGAAGUAAUUAAAGUUAAUAUCUUUAAUUAUUGACGUUACUUGCAAAAGAAGCACCGGCUAACUCCGUGCCAGCAGCCGCGGUAAUACGGAGGGUGCUAGCGUUAAUCGGAAUUACUGGGCGUAAAGAGCUCGUAGGUGGUUUUAUAAGUCAGAUGUGAAAUCCCUGGGCUUAACCUAGGAACUGCAUUUGAAACUGUAAUUCUAGAGUAUCGUAGAGGGAGGUAGAAUUCUAGGUGUAGCGGUGAAAUGCGUAGAUAUCUGGAGGAAUACCAGUGGCGAAAGCGGCCUCCUGGACGAAUACUGACGCUGAGGAGCGAAAGCGUGGGGAGCAAACAGGAUUAGAUACCCUGGUAGUCCACGCUGUAAACGAUGUCGACUUGGAGGUUGUUUCCUUAGAGUAGUAACUUCCGAAGCUAACGCGUUAAGUCGACCGCCUGGGGAGUACGGUCGCAAGGCUAAAACUCAAANGAAUUGACGGGGGCCCGCACAAGCGGUGGAGCAUGUGGUUUAAUUCGAUGCAACGCGAAAAACCUUACCUGGUCUUGACAUCCAUAGAAUUUUAUAGAAAUAUAGAAGUGCCUUAGGGAACUAUGAGACAGGUGCUGCAUGGCUGUCGUCAGCUCGUGUUGUGAAAUGUUGGGUUAAGNCCCGCAACGAGCGCAACCCUUGUCCUUUGUUGCCAACAGGUUAANCUGGGAACUCAGAGGAGACUGCUGGUUAUAAACCGGAGGAAGGUGGGGACGACGUCAAGUCAUCAUGGCCCUUACGACCAGGGCUACACACGUGCUACAAUGGUGCAUACAAAGAGAAGCAACUCUGUAAAGAUAAGCAAACCUCAUAAAGUGCAUCGCAGUCCGGACUGGAGUCUGCAACUCGACUCCACGAAGUCGGAAUCGCUAGUAAUCGUGGAUCAGANUGUCACGGUGAAUACGUUCCCGGGCCUUGUACACACCGCCCGUCACACCAUGGGAGUGGGUUGCAAAAGAAGCAGGUAUUCUAACCAAGUUUAUUUGGAAGUAGCCUACCACUUUGUGNUUCAUGACUGNGGUGAAGUCGUAACAAGGUA
Molecule: ribosomal RNA, 1507 nt
Filed under: Buchnera aphidicola (Pterochloroides sp.)
Lineage: Bacteria; Pseudomonadati; Pseudomonadota; Gammaproteobacteria; Enterobacterales; Erwiniaceae
Description: 16S ribosomal RNA
Rfam family: Bacterial small subunit ribosomal RNA
Source: RNAcentral